This 403-nucleotide ribosomal RNA is filed under the name uncultured bacterium. Its description in RNAcentral is "bacterial SSU rRNA". It matches the Rfam family "Bacterial small subunit ribosomal RNA", at positions 356 to 773 of the family's 1533-position model. The record is from RNAcentral.
GGGGAAUAUUGCGCAAUGGAGGGAACUCUGACGCAGCGACGCCGCGUGAGCGACGAAGGCCUUCGGGUCGUAAAGCUCUGUUCUUGGGGACGAAUAAAGUGACGGUACCCAAGGAGAAAGCCCCGGCUAACUACGUGCCAGCAGCCGCGGUAACACGUAGGGGGCGAGCGUUGUCCGGAAUUACUGGGCGUAAAGGGCGUGUAGGCGGCCAUGUAUGUCAGGUGUGAAAGGCCUCGGCUUAACCGAGGCAUUGCACAUGAAACUGUGUGGCUUGAGUGCAGGAGAGGGAAGUGGAAUUCCUAGUGUAGCGGUGAAAUGCGUAGAUAUUAGGAGGAACACCAGUGGCGAAGGCGACUUCCUGGACUGUAACUGACGCUGAGGCGCGAAAGCGUGGGUAGCAAAC